This is an RNA transcript of Arachis stenosperma, 4053 nucleotides long. It is a transcript of the gene named receptor-like protein EIX2, with no coding region annotated. NCBI's taxonomy places the organism in Eukaryota, Viridiplantae, Streptophyta, Magnoliopsida, Fabales, Fabaceae. The transcript is spliced from 3 exons. The record is from RefSeq and is a predicted model, not a curated record.
AGUCCACUCCUAAAAGUAUAGUCGUUACUGGCGCGUAAUGACUAAUUAAUGAGUGAUUACACAAUAGAGAGAGAAGAGGGAAGUGAACAGAAGAAUUGUGUGGGAUAAGUUGUUUAGCUUUUCUAAGAAUUGAAGGUUAUACAAUUAUACUGUUGUUGGGCUGAAUACAUAAUGGGUGGUUAUAUCCUGAAAUUGCUUGUUUUGUUGGUAAUGCUAUGGCAUUUAGGAUCCAACCAUGCAGCAACAGAGGGUGGAGAAAAGAAGUGCAAAGAGAGGGAGAGACUUGCUCUGCUCAACUUCAAACAAGGCCUCCAUGAUAACUAUGGCAUUUUGUCUUCAUGGAAGGACGAGAAUGAUUGCUGCAAAUGGAAGGGGAUUCGUUGCAACCAUGAAACUGGGUACGUUGAGAGGCUUGAUCUUCACUGCUCUGAAGCACAAUACUACUUGAGCGGUGAAAUCAGCCCUUCCUUGACUGACCUCCAACACUUGUCGUAUCUAGACCUCACUUGCUUAUCAAAUAACGCCACUACUCACAUCCCACCAUUCUUGGGUUCUUUCCCAAAUCUAUGCUAUCUCAAUCUCUCUUCUUUCUCCAAUUAUGUUCUUAGAAAACCUUAUUUUGAGGGAGAGAUCCCAUCACAGUUGGGAAAUCUCUCGCAACUGCAGUAUCUUGAUCUUAGCUUCAAUCUUCUUGAUGGAGCAAUCCCUUCUCAACUUGGAAGUCUCUCACAGCUACAGCAUCUUGAUCUUCGUAGCAAUCAACUUAGAGGAGUGAUCCCCUACCAACUUGGGAAUCUUUCCCAACUGCAGCAUCUUGAUCUUAGUCUCAACCGACUUGGAGGAGUGAUCCCCCACCAACUUGGGAAUCUUUUCCAGCUGCAGCAUCUUGAUCUUCGCUACAAUCAGAACCUCAAUGUUCAUGGUAAAAAUCAUGGCAGUAUUCAGUGGCUGUCAAAUCUCUCCUCUCUAACAAGCCUUGACUUGAGUGAUGUCCUUAAUCUCAAUGAUUCUUCUCUACACUCACUCCAGUUCCUUGGAAAGCUUCCAAGUCUAAAAGAACUGAGGCUAAGCAGGUGUGGCCUUUCUGAUUCUCAUUUUCUUCCAUUGUCUGAUUCCAGUUUGAAUUUCUCUAGUUCCCUUUCUAUACUUGAUCUGUCUGGGAAUUAUUUGACAUCACAAACUAUAUUUCAUUGGGUGUUUAACUUCACCUCUAAUCUCCAAGUGCUUGACCUUUCCGACAACAUCUUAAGAGGCACCUUUCCUGAUGAUUUUGGCAGCAUAAUGCAUUCGCUUGAAAGUAUUAAACUCUCAUACAACAAUCUAGAAGGCCCUGUUCCAAAAUCCUUGGGGAAUAUAUGCACCUUGCAAUCAUUUUCUGCUUUCAACAAUAACUUGACUGGGGAUCUUUCGAGUUUUAUUCACAACUCUUCAAGAUGCACCAGUAGCUCGUUACAAAGUGUGGAUUUAUCGAGAAAUAAAAUUCAUGGCAUGUCGCCUGACAUUUCAAACAUCUCGUCUUUGAAAGAGUUAUGGCUUUCAGAUAAUGAAUUGCAUGGAGAAAUACCUACAAGCCUGGGAUUGCUUACUGAGUUGGAGUAUUUGUUUCUUGAUGGAAAUUCUCUUGAAGGUGUCAUCACUGAAUCCCAUUUCACUAACCUCUCCAAAUUGAAAUACUUUGACAUAGCAGGUAGCUCGUUGACUAUCAAGAUUAGUGCCCGCUGGGUUCCACCUUUCCAAAUACAAAGUUUGAUUAUACCAGGUUGCACGGUAGAUUCUAAUUUUCCACAUUGGCUCAAGAAUCAAAAUGAAUUCUACUGGCUUGAUAUUGCAAAUCUCAAGAAUCUGGAUUCUGUGCCGAACUGGUUGUGGGGAAAAUUGCUGACAUUGGAUGUAUUCAAUAUUUCAGGGAACAAUCUAACUGGUACAAUUCCAAAUCUCCCAAUUGAGUUAUCUUACCCAGAAAUAGAUUUGACUUCAAAUCAAUUUGAGGGUUCCAUUCCACAGUUUUGGUUGCACGCAGGUGCCUUGUAUCUAUCCAACAAUAGAUUUUCAAGUAUAGUAUCAUUUGUUUGCGGCAAUAACACAGCCAUGCAUUAUUUGGGGAUUUUGGAUUUGUCAAACAAUCAAUUGAAGGGUGAGUUGCCUGAUUGUUGGAAUAAUUUAAACUCACUACAAUUUCUUGACCUGAGCAAUAACAAACUUGAAGGAAAGAUUCCUUUCUCAUUGGGUGUCUUAACAAACUUGGAGGCUUUGAUUUUAAGAAACAACAAUUUCACUGGAAAAUUACCUUCUUCCUUGAAGAAUUGCUCCCAGUUGGCCUGGUUGGACCUGGGACAAAAUGAGUUUCAUGGUCCAAUUCCAUUAUGGAUAGGAGAAAACUUAAAACAGUUAGUAAUCCUAAGCUUAAAAUUCAAUUACUUUAAUGGAAGUUUACCUUCAAAUCUGUGUUUGUUAACAAAGCUUCAAGUCUUGGAUCUCUCGCAAAAUAGACUAUCAAGAGGGAUUCCAACAUGCAUAAAGAAUUUCACUGCAAUGACUCAAGAUGCUAGAAGCUCAAAUGAACCAAUGAGUCAUUCGUAUCUCUACAAAGUUGGAGUAAAUACCUAUUUGGUUGGACAAUAUAAUUUGUACCUGUUUUUAACAUGGAAAAACGCAUAUCGUUCCUUCAAAAAUGCAGAUAUGCUUCUAACAGGCAUUGACCUCUCAAGUAAUCAUCUCACAGGCGAAAUACCAAAGGAAAUUGAGUUGUUAUUUGGGUUGGUUUUAUUGAACUUAUCAAGGAACAGUCUCAAUGGGGAAAUCAUCUCUAACAUUGGGAACUUACAAUUACUAGAGUUUCUUGAUUUGUCAAGAAAUCAUUUGUCAGGCAAAAUUCCUUCAAGUCUCUCCAAAAUUGAUCGUCUUACUAUGUUAGACUUGUCAAACAAUGAUCUUGAUGGCAAAAUUCCAAUUGGAACGCAACUGCAGAGUUUCGAUCCUUCAGCUUACGAAGGAAAUCCCAAUCUGUGUGGAGAACCUCUUAACAAGAAAUGUGAAGAAGAAACCACAGAAGAUGAGAGGCCGGUAGCACAAGUGAGUGAUGAGAAUUCAAUAUUCUUGGAGGCAUUAUACAUGAGCAUGGGGAUAGGGUUCUUCACAGGCUUUUGUGGCUUCAUAGUUUCAGUAUUAUUCAUCUCCUCUUGCAGAGAACCCUACUCCACGUUCUUGAAUAGUUUGGUCACCAGAAUCUAUGGCUAGAGGAUGAACAGGAUCUCCUACUUUUGCUUGCGUUAUGGCCUUAUGGGGAGUGACACUGCAUCUUCUACUGUUAUCAAUAAACCCAAUCGAAUAAUUUGGUUCCCACCACGCUUUCGUUGAACCUUUACUUACUAGUAGUAUGAAUGCAACUUUUGCUGUAACAAACUUGUUAAUGUUCAUUAAUGUGUUUUGAGUAUUAUAUGUUGCAUCUUUUCGAAGUUCUCAGAUUAUCAGAAUUAAUAGUUUUGUUUUGAGUAUUGUUGCGGCCCAGCCCAGCUGGCCUUUUGGCCGACCCGACCCAGCUCGAGAAUACGGGCAACAAAGGCGCUGCUCACCCGGCCCCUACCCGGACACCUCCUGAGAGCCAGCUGUGGACAGCUGGAGAUUAGGAAGGUUCCUGGAAAGUGGAUCUGCCCUCGUGGGACCUACCUCACUGACAUGGUAUAAAAGAGGAGGUACGUCACCAUACUUUCAGCUCUCACAUCACCUACACACUCUACUGACUUGAGCGUCGAAGUGUCUUUGCAGGUGACACUCCCUCUCCACACGAGGUAUUCGGGAAGUCGGCCGCUCCAGCCUCCAUCUCCACGACCCGGAAUCAGGCGGAAACCCACUCUAACAUCCACAGGAUCUCCCCGAACCGUCCGGUUUCAUUCAAAUUUUCGUUGAAAGUUGAUAGGCUAACAGUAAUAACAGAAUGGUAGGGGCUGAUUCGUAACCGUUUGUGGCUUGGAACAAAUAUAUUGUGGACAAGUCAAAAGGGAUUGGUUUCAUUCAACUUAUCAAGGAACAAUCUCAACGGGGAUUCAAAUUGAC